This 495-nucleotide ribosomal RNA is filed under the name uncultured bacterium. RNAcentral describes it as "partial 16S ribosomal RNA". It matches the Rfam family "Bacterial small subunit ribosomal RNA", at positions 28 to 506 of the family's 1533-position model. The record is from RNAcentral.
GAUGAACGCUGGCGGCGUGCCUAAUACAUGCAAGUCGAGCGAACAGACGAGGAGCUUGCUCCUCUGACGUUAGCGGCGGACGGGUGAGUAACACGUGGAUAACCUACCUAUAAGACUGGGAUAACUUCGGGAAACCGGAGCUAAUACCGGAUAAUAUAUUGAACCGCAUGGUUCAAUAGUGAAAGACGGUUUUGCUGUCACUUAUAGAUGGAUCCGCGCCGCAUUAGCUAGUUGGUAAGGUAACGGCUACCAAGGCAACGAUGCGUAGCCGACCUGAGAGGGUGAGCGGCCAACCUGGAACUGAGACAGGGUCCAGACUCCUACGGGAGGCAGCAGUAGGGAAUUUUCCGAAAUGGGGAAAAGCAUGAGGGAAAAACGCCGCGUGAGGGAUGAAGGUUUUGGGAUAGAAAAACUCUGUUAUUAGGGAAAAAAAAAUGGGAAAGUAAAUAGGCACGUUUUGACGGUACCAAAUAAAAAAGCCACGGAUAACUAAGU